Molecule: long non-coding RNA, 2768 nt
Organism: Felis catus (domestic cat)
Lineage: Eukaryota; Metazoa; Chordata; Mammalia; Carnivora; Felidae
Exons: 10
Source: RefSeq, a predicted model, not a curated record
ACAGGAAAAAAAAAAAAAAGGCCACGUGAGGACACAGCAAGAAGGCAGCUGAAUAGAAGCCAAGAAGUGAGUUCUCACCAGCAACCAGCCCGGCUGGAGUCUUGAUCUUGGCCUUCUAGUCUCUAGAACGGAUUGUGGAUGAUCAUCGGUGCAAUGUCACAUUUCCGAGAAAUCCUCAAAAGGAGGCAAAAGCAAGUGUCAUCGGCCGCUCUGACCGGUGCGAGAUGACAUCUCACUGUGGUUUUCAUGUGCAUUUCCCGAUGAUGAGUGACGAUAAGCACCUUUUCACCGGCCUGUGGGCCAUCUGUCUGCCAUUAUCUGCUCAAUAUAACGGUGCGUUAAAAUAUAAUCGCAACGAAUGCAAGUGGAAUGGAGAGCAUGUGACAAAGAGAAAAGCAAGGUCUUCGUUUCUCAUUCUGCACAGGCGUUUUGCAUCUUUAAAGAAGAAAAAUGUCCGGAGCCUUUGGAGAAAAAAUGAUCAUACAGAAGAACCUCAGAAAACAACAAUAUUUAGAGCUCAGAGAGGACUUGAAAAUCAUCUAAUCCAACAUUUCCAAAUGAUAUAGAAACACUUCCUAUGAGUCACAAAAGGAAGGAAAACAACUAACCAAAGCAAACACUUUCAUUCCUAGGACCUUGCAAAUGAUUUUUACUGAGAAGCCUUAUUCCCAAGAAUUCUGAUGCCAGAUGCUGAUACAAUACAGGUUUUCCCUCCCCAGGAGAUUGUUAGAUGUGAUCCACAUCUUGCCUCCGAGAGGCCCUUUCAAAUGAAGCCUGUCUGCAAAUUGGGAGGAAGGACUUUAACCCCAAACUAGGACAUGCCAAGAUGGGGCUCUUGAACCACAAGAAAGAGCGGUGAGAGAAGAAAGAAGUUCAUUAACACAGAUAGUUCAUAUAUACAUGGCAGACAGCUGGGAAAAAGAGAUGGCUUAAAAUGUGGCCUUACAUAUCAUCUUUAUCAGAAAACAUAAAAAGAACCUCAACAAAGCAAUACAGGCUUGAUUUACUGAUGGCUGGUGUCCACUGAGCCGCUGCUGAUGUUCCGUCUUAGUUCCAGCUACUUGUAAGCAAAAGUGGGUGCGGUUACUCCACUCCCUGGACAGAACUCAAGCCGGGAGUGCCUGAGGAGUGUCACACAGAUCCCGCCUGGGGGCGAGGGGUGUCUGCGGGUGUCAGCUUGCCUUCUGUUCCCUCAUCAGAUCUGGGGACACAAAGGGAAGGAGAACCACUCACUACAAGGAGCCUCAGGUAGGCCUGGCUGAUACGUUACGGAACCCGGUCUGGAUCCCCUGGCGGAAGACCCACGCAGCCCUCGGAGAUCUUGGAAGGCAGGAGGUUUAUUUCCCACUGGUGGGCUCAGAGGAGAUCACUCUCCAGAGGUCUGAAUCCAGAGCAUAAGCAUGGGGGACAAUUUAUAGUCUGUUACUUCCGCAUUCCGAGUUAGUAGUAAUUUGGCUUGCACGGCAAGCAGGGUAGGAAGAAGAACCGGGAAGGGGAGUCUCCUGGUGGGCACUGGAAUUCGCCCAUCGGUCCUGUCGGCCAUCUUAUAACAGAUUUUUCCCUAUCAGAUACACCCUCUGGGUGGAAGCCUGGCCAAAAGGAGCGCUAGGGGAUUCAGGGAUAAUUCUGGUCCCAGCACCUAGAUUCUAGCAACAUGGAUGCCAGUGUAUGCUUUCAUCAGGGACGUCUGCAUCACCCCUGGAGAAAAUGGGGGCAAGGGAAUGAGGCAUCUGUGGAUGCCCACAUCCUGCUUGCUGUAUUGUAAGUAAUAAUUUGCCUCUGAAAAAAAAAAAAAUCAUCUUCAGCCAAAACAGAAGAUGGAUGUGGGGAAGCCUGGUCACGGAAUGGGAGCCAGAAAAGCUAGGUAAACAAGGGUCAGGCUGGUUAUGCAAAUUUCAGCUGGGCCUUCUCCACUGAUAAGAUUCUUUAGUGAUUUAGAAUCAUUCUUCUCUUCCUGUUGAGAGAGACACCCUUACAAAUGGAGAUUUCCUUUAUAAAUGUAAAUUUCCCUCACAAAAGGGUGACUUCUACUCUUAUUUGCAGAGCUCCUCCCAUAUCUCGCUGUUUCUCAAACUAAGCCCCUAAAAAUAAUCCUUGUGCCAAAGAGGCAUCAUUAGGGUAGCAUAUUCCGGUCUCCUACGGUCAUAUUUUGGGGUGACAUAUUCUGGUGUUCUAUAAGUACUCCGAGUCCUCCCUAAGUGAUUUUUUAUUUACACGAGGAGAUUAGACUCAGUGAUAGUUAAAAGCGUCGAAAGCAGGGUAGUUAGAAAAAUGGUGGAAUCACCUUCAUUGCUAGAUUUAAUUACUGGGAGACAUUCCAAAACCUAAUCUCUAGGCUUAGACUCCUAGGUUUGGGUUAAUUGACCCCCGAGGCUGUUCCAGUGCUAAUUCUUCAGUAUUAUAUUGCACAUACCGAGGGAGUAAAUCACUUUUAUAUGGAUGUGGAUAGAUCAUCAAGCAAUAAAAAUGCUAAUGCUCUGGGGCCAAAUCCAGAGCUUUCUAGGGCUCGGGUUCCUUUUGGACCUCAGUGGGAGGUACUCACCCACGGUGCGUGAAUCGAACAUUCCGGUUGCCGGUUGCCUGAUGGCACAGUGAAGCUGACUUCUGGAGAACAUUUAAUUUACUUAUUUUAGAAACAGUUAUACUCAUGGUCAGGAAGCACCUUUCUCGAGGCUCUUUCUUUCUCGUACCUUUAUCCGCAACUGUUCCACACAGGGAGUUUUGCUAUUAAAAAAAAAAAAAAAAGUAUCCAAGGAAGAUUUUCACUA